This 164-nucleotide non-coding RNA is filed under the name unclassified sequences. The record is from Rfam.
UAUCGGACGGUGGUGAUAUUUUCUCGAAAAGUGCUGAAAAUCAGGGUGGAGCGAACAGGACGUUCGCGACAGGCGGACGUUGCCAUGGAUGGCAACUGGAGCCGUGCCCGUGCGGAUUAGAACCGAUAUCUCACUUUUCGUCAGAAAAUUCCCACCGGGAGACC